Molecule: long non-coding RNA, 1183 nt
Organism: Dreissena polymorpha
Lineage: Eukaryota; Metazoa; Mollusca; Bivalvia; Myida; Dreissenidae
Exons: 7
Source: RefSeq, a predicted model, not a curated record
GUGAUGUAAAGGUUCAACGGAAAUACAGGUCACAAUAGGCUAAAUAAAGAUAACGUGGACUAAAGAAACAAUAUGAUCGCAACGUUACUUUAUCAGGUUGGAGACUACAUGAGAUUUUGACAGAUGGCGGGAAACCCUCAUCAACUGGAGAUCAGCCGGUAGAGGAAUGUCUGCGACUAAGCCGAGGACCACUGCAUAAGGGUUAUUGAUGGCAAAACAGGUAGAGGAAUGUCUGCGACUAAGCCGAGGGCCACUGCAUAAGGGUUAUUGAUGGCAAAACAGGUUGGAGACUACAUGAGAUUUUGACAGAUGGCGGGAAACCCUCAUCAACUGGAGAUCAGCCGGUAGAGGAAUGUCUGCGACUAAGCCGAGGGCCACUGCAUAAGGGUUAUUGAUGGCAAAACAGGUUGGAGACUACAUGAGAUUUUGACAGAUGGCGGGAAACCCUCAUCAACUGGAGAUCAGCCGGUAAAAAGGUGGCCUUAAAACAGUGACCGUUGAUUCGCGUCGAGUUCUUUCUUACAUACUGCAUGACCUAUCUUUUUUAUUGUUUAAAUCCAUUCGGCUUGGCAUGCUCUUUAAGAAAAGGUAUGGGUAUGGGGGUGUCUACGCGCAAAAGUUUGACUUUAUUUUUCAUUGAAGUUGUUGAUUUUACAUUGAAUUUGUUAAGGAAAUCUUUUGGUAUAUUGUAACCUAAACUAACUUUAGGUAAAAAUGAAAUAUCAUCUGCAAGUGCAAAAUAUGACUGGUAAAGCUGAUUUUUGGUCAUUUCUUAGCAAAAGAGAAGAUUAUAAGUGCAUUAAAUGCAUGAAUUCAGAUGAUUUGACCCAAAAUAGUUGUUUUUCAAGUUGACCCUCCACCCUUAUAUAGCCGAAUAAGGGCUAAAUUGCUUUCCAACUUAAGUUCAAAGGCAUAUUGGUUGACCGUGUAGCAUUAAUGUACUACAUGAUGUCAGAAUUCAACGCCUGGGUCUCCGUGAUCCAGUAACGCAACAAUAGCUUGUGCGUAAAGCAUUAACAUUCAAACAGAGCCCCAUUUCACCGAUAUGGAAUGGCGGACAUUUUUACAGAUUGGACAGUGCAGCAGAUGCUUAGCUGAGCCAGCCUUCAUAUUUAGUACAAUCAUGAAUAUAACAAGCUUUAUCACUACAUAUUAUUCUUAUAAAUACACUUAAAAUACAUAA